AACCUAGCACACCUGCGGUGUGUACCUGCGGAGGGAUCAUUACCUAUUUGGCCUUUGUGGCUACGCUCGGGGGGCCUUUGGUCCCCGUCUGCACCCUUGUCUUUGCGCACUCAUGUUUCCUCGGUGGGCUUGCCUGCCGCUAGGACAACCUAAACUCUUGAAUUUUCAAUCAGCGUCUGAUAACAAUAAUAUUUACAACUUUUAACAACGGAUCU
This 215-nucleotide unclassified non-coding RNA is filed under the name soil metagenome. Its description in RNAcentral is "partial contains 5.8S ribosomal RNA, internal transcribed spacer 2, and large subunit ribosomal RNA". The record is from RNAcentral.